RNAcentral lists this ribosomal RNA (254 nucleotides) under uncultured bacterium. RNAcentral's name for it is "partial 16S ribosomal RNA". It matches the Rfam family "Bacterial small subunit ribosomal RNA", at positions 524 to 776 of the family's 1533-position model. The record is from RNAcentral.
GACGAACCGUGCGACCGUUAUUCGGAAUCACUGGGCUUAAAGCGCGUGUAGGCGGGACGGCACGUCGGUCGCUGAAAUCCCCCGGCUUAACCGGGGAACUGGCGUCGAUACGACCGUCCUGGAGGGGCGUAGGGGGACCUGGAACUUCCGGUGGAGCGGUGAAAUGCGUAGAGAUCGGAAAGAACACCAACGGCGAAAGCACUCUGCUGGGCCGACACUGACACUGAGAGACGAAAGCUAGGGGAGCGAAUGGG